ACCUUCGUGAAAAAUGCUCUGUCUCAACCGGAAAGAUAAAUAGCACGUACCAAGGGUUGAGCAUCCAGUACCUACAAUAUUACCAACUCCAAAGUGAAAGAGAGAGAGAGAGAGAGAGAGAAAAUGGCCAUGGCAACGAAGUCAGUUUCUACUCUAGUCAUCUUUUUGGUCCUGGCUCUGGCCAUCAAUGUCUAUGCAGAAAUGCCAAAGACAGAAGCGAGUAAAGCCGCGUGCCUGAGAGAAUACGUCGAUGCGUCUCCAUUCUUUUGUAUGGAUAGGAUUUAUCCGUCAUUGUGUUAUUAUAAAUGCCGUUCGGACGAGGGUGCUAAAGGUGGCAAAUGCGAUGAUCUUACAUGCUACUGCGAUUUCUGCAGCAAGGAACCUAAUUUCGAACAGUUUCUAAGAACCGUUGUUUGAAUCUUGCGUGUAUAAUGUAAUAAUUAUCAAAUGUAAGCGUUGCAAGAAAUAAUGUUGCAAUGAUUAAUAAUAAUAAGAAACGCUAGAUGUUUCACGUUUGCUUAUGAA
Molecule: long non-coding RNA, 525 nt
Organism: Capsella rubella
Lineage: Eukaryota; Viridiplantae; Streptophyta; Magnoliopsida; Brassicales; Brassicaceae
Exons: 2
Source: RefSeq, a predicted model, not a curated record